AGUGAACGCUGGCGGUAGGCCUAACGCAUGCAAGUCGAACGGCAGCACAGUAAGAGCUUGCUCUUACGGGUGGCGAGUGGCGGACGGGUGAGGAAUACAUCGGAAUCUACUUUUUCGUGGGGGAUAACGUAGGGAAACUUACGCUAAUACCGCAUACGACCUACGGGUGAAAGCAGGGGAUCUUCGGACCUUGCGCGAUUGAAUGAGCCGAUGUCGGAUUAGCUAGUUGGCGGGGUAAAGGCCCACCAAGGCGACGAUCCGUAGCUGGUCUGAGAGGAUGAUCAGCCACACUGGAACUGAGACACGGUCCAGACUCCUACGGGAGGCAGCAGUGGGGAAUAUUGGACAAUUGGCGCAAGCCUGAUCCAGCCAUACCGCGUGGGUGAAGAAGGCCUUCGGGUUGUAAAGCCCUUUUGUUGGGAAAGAAAAGCAGCAGGUUAAUACCCCGCUGUUCUGACGGUACCCAAAGAAUAAGCACCGGCUAACUGCGU
Molecule: ribosomal RNA, 491 nt
Filed under: uncultured bacterium
Lineage: Bacteria
Description: partial 16S ribosomal RNA
Rfam family: Bacterial small subunit ribosomal RNA
Source: RNAcentral